AUUGAACGCUGGCGGCAGGUCUAAUACAUGCAAGUCGAACGGUAACAUAAGAAAAGCUUGCUUUUCUUGAUGACGAGUGGCGGACGGGUGAGUAAUAUUUGGGAAACUACCUGAUAGAGGGGGACAACAGUUGGAAACGACUGCUAAUACCGCAUACAGCCUCAGGGUGAAAGAAGCGAUUCGCUAUCAGAUGUGCCCAAACGGGAUUAGCUAGUAGGUGAGGUAAAGGCUCACCUAGGCGACGAUCUCUAGCUGGUCUGAGAGGAUGAUCAGACACAUUGGGACUGAGACACGGCCCAGACUCCUACGGGAGGCAGCAGUAGGAAAUAUUGCACAAUGGAGGAAACUCUGAUGCAGCCAUGCCGCGUGUGUGAAGAAGGCCUUCGGGUUGUAAAGCACUUUCGGAGGGGAGGAAGAAAAUGACGUUACCCUCAGAAGAAGCACCGGCUAACUCCGUGCCAGCAGCCGCCGUAA
Molecule: ribosomal RNA, 474 nt
Filed under: uncultured bacterium
Lineage: Bacteria
Description: partial 16S ribosomal RNA
Rfam family: Bacterial small subunit ribosomal RNA
Source: RNAcentral